AAUACAUAGUGCUGCAAGGCGAACCGGGGGAACUGAAACAUCUAAGUACCCCGAGGAAAAGAAAUCAACCGAGAUUCCCCCAGUAGCGGCGAGCGAACGGGGAGCAGCCCAGAGCCUGAAUCAGUUUGUGUGUUAGUGGAAGCGUCUGGAAAGUCGCAGGGUACAGGGUGAUACUCCCGUACACAAAAACACACAGGCUGUGAGCUCGAUGAGUAAGGCGGGACACGUGGUAUCCUGUCUGAAUAUGGGGGGACCAUCCUCCAAGGCUAAAUACUCCUGACUGACCGAUAGUGAACCAGUACCGUGAGGGAAAGGCGAAAAGAACCCCGGCGAGGGGAGUGAAACAGAACCUGAAACCGUGUACGUACAAGCAGUGGGAGCCUCUUUAUGGGGUGACUGCGUACCUUUUGUAUAAUGGGUCAGCGACUUAUAUUCUGUAGCAAGGUUAACCGUAUAGGGGAGCCGCAGGGAAACCGAGUCUUAACUGGGCGUUAAGUUGCAGGGUAUAGA
Molecule: ribosomal RNA, 510 nt
Rfam family: Bacterial large subunit ribosomal RNA